Molecule: ribosomal RNA, 516 nt
Filed under: uncultured bacterium
Lineage: Bacteria
Description: partial 16S ribosomal RNA
Rfam family: Bacterial small subunit ribosomal RNA
Source: RNAcentral
UGGGGAAUAUUGCACAAUGGGCGAAAGCCUGAUGCAGCAACGCCGCGUGAGUGAUGAAGGUCUUCGGAUUGUAAAGCUCUGUCUUUUGGGACGAUAAUGACGGUACCAAAGGAGGAAGCCACGGCUAACUACGUGCCAGCAGCCGCGGUAAUACGUAGGUGGCGAGCGUUGUCCGGAUUUACUGGGCGUAAAGGGUGCGUAGGCGGAUGUUUAAGUGAGAUGUGAAAUACCCGGGCUUAACUUGGGUGCUGCAUUUCAAACUGGAUAUCUAGAGUGCAGGAGNGGAGAAUGGAAUUCCUAGUGUAGCGGUGAAAUGCGUAGAGAUUAGGAAGAACACCAGUGGCGAAGGCAUUCUCUGGACUGUAACUGACGCUGAGGCACGAAAGCGUGGGUAGCAACAGGAUUAGAUACCCUGGUAGUCACGCCGUAAACGAUGAGUACUAGGUNUAGGGGUAUCGACCCCUUCUGUGCCGCAGUAAACACAUUAAGUNCUCCGCCUGGGAAGUACGAUCGCAA